CAGUCGCCGCGGGAAUACGAAGGGCGCAAGCGUUAAUCGGAAUUACUGGGCGUAAGGCGUGCGUAGGCGGUUUGUUAAGUCUGUUGUGAAAUCCCCGGGCUCAACCUGGGAAUGGCAAUGGAUACUGGCAAGCUAGAGUGUGUCAGAGGAUGGUGGAAUUCCCGGUGUAGCAGUGAAAUGCGUAGAGAUCGGAAGGAACAUCUGUGGCGAAGGCGACUAUCUGGGCCAACACUGACACUGAGGCACGAAAGCGUGGGGAGCAAACAGGAUUAGAUACCCGUGUAGUCCCUGUCUCUUAUAC
Molecule: ribosomal RNA, 301 nt
Filed under: uncultured bacterium
Lineage: Bacteria
Description: partial 16S ribosomal RNA
Rfam family: Bacterial small subunit ribosomal RNA
Source: RNAcentral